Populus euphratica (Euphrates poplar) is the source of this 339-nucleotide long non-coding RNA. RefSeq lists it as uncharacterized. The transcript has 2 exons. Lineage: Eukaryota; Viridiplantae; Streptophyta; Magnoliopsida; Malpighiales; Salicaceae. The record is from RefSeq and is a predicted model, not a curated record.
CCAAGAUUUUCAUGACACUGCAUUUCCUUACUUCAAUUACUCGGAGAGAAUCGCAAAUCAGUUUUGCACUACAAAUGCUUUUUAGUUCUGGUUUACGAGGCAAAUCCAGGAAGAUGGAACCAAGAUUUCCAUGAGACUGCAAUUCCUUACUUCAAUUACUUCGAGAGAAUCGCAAAUCAGUUUUGCACUACAAAUGCUUUUUAGUUCUGGUAAAUCUUUCAAGCGCAGUUCUGUCAACUUCGGGAGUUUGAAUUCGGUGUUUCUGAUGCUGCUUUCUUCACCCAUAUCCCCUUCUUCAUCCGAUCUUGCUCCACCUAUUAUCUCCUCCAUUUUCUCACA